RNAcentral lists this ribosomal RNA (304 nucleotides) under uncultured bacterium. RNAcentral's name for it is "partial 16S ribosomal RNA". It matches the Rfam family "Bacterial small subunit ribosomal RNA", at positions 506 to 807 of the family's 1533-position model. The record is from RNAcentral.
CAGCAGCCGCCGCGGGAAAACGGAGGGGGCUAGCGUUGUUCGGAAUUACCGGGCGUAAAGCGCACGUAGGCGGCUUGGUAAGUUAGAGGUGAAAGCCUGGAGCUCAACUCCAGAAUUGCCUUUAAGACUGCCGAGCUAGCAGGUGAGAGAGGUAAGUGGAAUUCCGAGUGUAGAGGUGAAAUUCGUAGAUAUUCGGAAGAACACCAGCGGCGAAGGCGGCUUACUGGCUCAUACUGGACGCUGAGGUGCGAAAGCGUGGGGAGCAAACAGGAUUAGAUACCCCCGUAGUCCCUGUCUCUUAUAC